AUGAACGCUAGCUACAGGCUUAACACAUGCAAGUCGAGGGGCAGCAUGGAGUUGCUUGCAAACUCUGAUGGCGACCGGCGCACGGGUGAGUAACGCGUAUCCAACCUUCCCUAUAGUAGAGGAUAGCCCGGCGAAAGUCGGAUUAAUACUCUAUGUUUCCGUUGCAGACAUCUAAGAUGGAACAAAGGCUUGCCGCUAUAGGAUGGGGAUGCGUCUGAUUAGAUAGUAGGCGGGGUAAUGGCCCACCUAGUCGACGAUCAGUAGGGGUUCUGAGAGGAAGGUCCCCCACAUUGGAACUGAGACACGGUCCAAACUCCUACGGGAGGCAGCAGUGAGGAAUAUUGGUCAAUGGGCGAGAGCCUGAACCAGCCAAGUAGCGUGCAGGAUGACGGCCCUAUGGGUUGUAAACUGUCUUUUAUAGUGGGGAUAAAGUCACCCACGUGUGGGUGUUUGUAGGUACCAUAUGAAUAAGGACCGGCUAAUUCCGUGCCAGCCGCUGC
Molecule: ribosomal RNA, 500 nt
Filed under: uncultured bacterium
Lineage: Bacteria
Description: bacterial SSU rRNA
Rfam family: Bacterial small subunit ribosomal RNA
Source: RNAcentral